RNAcentral lists this ribosomal RNA (640 nucleotides) under Escherichia coli. RNAcentral describes it as "partial 23S ribosomal RNA". It matches the Rfam family "Bacterial large subunit ribosomal RNA", at positions 2259 to 2893 of the family's 2925-position model. Lineage: Bacteria; Pseudomonadati; Pseudomonadota; Gammaproteobacteria; Enterobacterales; Enterobacteriaceae. The record is from RNAcentral.
UGGUGGGUAGUUUGACUGGGGCGGUCUCCUCCUAAAGAGUAACGGAGGAGCACGAAGGUUGGCUAAUCCUGGUCGGACAUCAGGAGGUUAGUGCAAUGGCAUAAGCCAGCUUGACUGCGAGCGUGACGGCGCGAGCAGGUGCGAAAGCAGGUCAUAGUGAUCCGGUGGUUCUGAAUGGAAGGGCCAUCGCUCAACGGAUAAAAGGUACUCCGGGGAUAACAGGCUGAUACCGCCCAAGAGUUCAUAUCGACGGCGGUGUUUGGCACCUCGAUGUCGGCUCAUCACAUCCUGGGGCUGAAGUAGGUCCCAAGGGUAUGGCUGUUCGCCAUUUAAAGUGGUACGCGAGCUGGGUUUAGAACGUCGUGAGACAGUUCGGUCCCUAUCUGCCGUGGGCGCUGGAGAACUGAGGGGGGCUGCUCCUAGUACGAGAGGACCGGAGUGGACGCAUCACUGGUGUUCGGGUUGUCAUGCCAAUGGCACUGCCCGGUAGCUAAAUGCGGAAGAGAUAAGUGCUGAAAGCAUCUAAGCACGAAACUUGCCCCGAGAUGAGUUCUCCCUGACUCCUUGAGAGUCCUGAAGGAACGUUGAAGACGACGACGUUGAUAGGCCGGGUGUGUAAGCGCAGCGAUGCGUUGAGCUA